UUCUGGUGAAGAAACGUGCAAAAUUGAAAACAUCUUCAUCUGGUCAAUGUGGCUAAGCAUCAAGAAUCAUCAUCAGUCCUUCCCAUGAACGAGAACUCGAGGUAAUUUAAAAUGGGGUAUAGAGAAACCUUUUGCUGAGUUCCAGUUAGAACAUUAAGCGGACCUUCUCAAAUUCUGGCGAAGAAACGUGCAAAAUUGAAAACAUCUUUAUCUGGUCCAACUAAACAUCACGAGUCAUCACUCCUUUUAAUGAGCGAGAACUUGAGUUUUGGUGUUAAGCCGCCCGCUUCAAGUUUUUGUGAAGAAACAUAGAAAAUUGAACAUCUUCAUCUGGUUAAUGUAACUAAGAAUCUAGAAUCAUCAUUCCUUCCUAUGAGCGAGAACUCAAGGUAACUUAAAUGGGUAUAGACAAACCUUCUGUUGAGUUACAGUUAGAACGUUAAGCGGACCGCCUCAGAUCUUCAUGAGGGAACAUACAAAAUUGAAAUCAUCUGCAUCUAGCCAAUGUGACUAAGCAUCAAGAACAAUCAUUCCUUCCUAUGAACAAGAACUCGAGGUAACUUAAAUGAGUAUAGAGAAACCUUCUGUUGAGUUCCAGUCGGAAGGUUAGCGGACCGCUUCAGAUUCUGGUGAAGAAACGUGCAAAAUUGAAAACAUCUUUAUCUGGUACAUGUGAUUAAGCAUCAAGAAUCAUCAUUCCUUCCUAUGAACGAGAACUCGAGGUAACUUAAGUGGGUAUAGAGAAACCUUCUGUUGAGUUCCAGUUACAAUGUUAAGCGGACCGCCUCAGAUUUUCAUGAAGGAACAUACAAAAUUGAAAGCAUCUGCAUCUAGCCAAUGUGACUAAGCAUUAAGAACAACCAUUCCUUCCUAUGAACGAGAACUCGAGGUAACUUAAAUGGGUAUAGAAAAACCUUUUGUUGAGUUCCAGUAGGAAUGUUAAGCGGACCGCCUCAGAUAGAUCUUCAUUAAGGAACAUACAAAAUUGAAAGCAUCUGUAUCUAGUCAACGUGACUAAGCAUUAAGAACAAUCAUUUCUUCCUAUGAACGAGAACUCGAGGUGACUUAAAUGGAUAUAGAGAAACCUUCUAUUGGGUUCCAGUUAGAAUGUUAAGCAGACCGCCUCUGAUUUUGACGAAGGAACCUACAAACUUGAAAGCAUCAUCUGGCCAAAGCGAUUAAACAUCAAGAAUCAUCAUUCCUUCCUAUGAACGAGAACUUGAGGUAAUUCAAAUGGGUAUAGAGAAAUCUUCUGUUGAGUUCCAGUUACAAUGUUAAGCGGACCGCCUCAGAUUUUCAUGAAGGAACAUACAAAAUUGAAAGCAUCUGCAUCUAGCCAAUGUGACUAAGCAUUAAGAACAACCAUUCCUUCCUAUGAACGAGAACUCGAGGUAACUUAAAUGGGUAUAGAAAAACCUUUUGUUGAGUUCCAGUAGGAAUGUUAAGCGGACCGCCUCAGAUAGAUCUUCAUUAAGGAACAUACAAAAUUGAAAGCAUCUGUAUCUAGUCAACGUGACUAAGCAUUAAGAACAAUCAUUUCUUCCUAUGAACGAGAACUCGAGGUAACUUAAAUGGGUAUAGAAAAACCUUUUGUUGAGUUCCAGUAGGAAUGUUAAGCGGACCGCCUCAGAUAGAUCUUCAUGAAGGAACAUACAAAAUUGAAAGCAUCUGUAUCUAGUCAACGUGACUAAGCAUCAAGAACAAUCAUUCCUUCCUAUGAACGAGAACUCGAGGUAACUUAAAUGGAUAUAGAGAAUCGUUCUAUUGGGUUCCAGUUAGAAUGUUAAGCGGACCGCCUCUGAUUUUGACGAAGGAACCUACAAACUUGAAAGCAUCAUCUGGCCAAAGCGAUUAAACAUCAAGAAUCAUCAUUCCUUCCUAUGAACGAGAACUUGAGGUAAUUCAAAUGGGUAUAGAGAAACCUUCUGUUGAGUUCCAGUUACAAUGUUAAGCGGACCGCCUGGGAUUUUCAUGAAGGAACAUACAAUAUUGAAAGCAUCUUUCUCUAGCCAAUGUGACUAAGCAUCAAGAUCAAUCAUUCCUUCCUAUGAACGAGAACUCGAGGUAACUUAAAUGGGUAUAGAAAAACCUUUUUGUUGAGUUCCAGUCGGAAUGUUAAACGGACCGCUUCAGAUUCUGGUGAAGAAACGUCCAAAAUUGAAAACAUCUUUAUCUGGUCCAUGUGAUUAAGCAUCAAAAAUCGUCAUUCCUUCCUAUGAGCGAGAACCCGAGGUAAUUUAAACGGGUAUAGAGAAAUCUUCUGUUGAGUUCCAGUUAGACUGUUAAGCUGACCACCUCAGACUUUGAUGAAAGAACAUUCAAAAUUGAAAACAUAUUCAUCUGGUUAAUGUGACUAAGAAUCAAGAAUCAUCCUUCCUUCCUAUGAACGAGGACUUGAGGUAAUUCAAAUGGGUAUAGAGAAACCUUUUGUUGAGUUCCAGUCGGAAUGUUAAGCGGACUACUUCAGAUUCUGGUGAAGAAACGUGCAAAAUUGAAAACAUCUUUAUCUGGUCCAUGUGAUUAAGCAUCAAGAAUCAUCAUUCCUUCCUAUGAGCGAGAACCCGAGGUAAUUUAAACGGGUAUAGAGAAAUCUUCUGUUGAGUUCCAGUUAGACUGUUAAGCUGACCACCUCAGACUUUGAUGAAAGAACAUUCAAAAUUGAAAACAUCUUCAUCUGGUUAAUGUGACUAAGAAUCAAGAAUCAUCCUUCCUUCCUAUGAACGAGGACUUGAGGUAAUUCAAAUGGGUAUAGAGAAACCUUUUGUUGAGUUCCAGUCGGAAUGUUAAGCGGACUACUUCAGAUUCUGGUGAAGAAACGUGCAAAAUUGAAAACAUCUUUAUCUGGUCCAUGUGAUUAAGCAUCAAGAAUCAUCAUUCCUUCCUAUGAGCGAGAACCCGAGGUAAUUUAAACAGGUUUAGAGAAAUCUUCUGUUGAGUUCCAGUUAGACUGUUAAGCGGACCACCUCAGACUUUGAUGAAGGAACAUACAAAUUUGGAAGCAUCUUCAUCUGGUUAAUGUGACUAAGAAUCAAGAAUCAUCCUUCCUUCCUAUGAACGAGGACUUGAGGUAAUUCAAAUGGGUAUAGAGAAACCUUUUGUUGAAUUCCAGUCGGAAUGUUAAGCGGACUACUUCAGAUUCUGGUGAAGAAACGUGCAAAAUUGAAAACAUCUUUAUCUGGUCCAUGUGAUUAAGCAUCAAGAAUCAUCAUUCCUUCUUAUGAGCGAGAACCCGAGGUAAUUUAAACGGGUAUAAAAAAACCUUAUGUUGAAUUCCAGUUGGAAUGUUAAAUGGACCACCUCAGACAUUGAUGAAGGAACAUACAAAAUUGAAAGCAUCUUCAUCUGGCCAAUGUGACUAAAUAUCAACAAUCAUCAUUCCUUCCUAUGAACGAGAACUCGUGAAAAUUCAAAUGGGUAUAGAGAAAUCUUCUGUUGAGUACCAUUUAGAAUGUUAAUCGGACCACCUCAGACUUUGAUGAAGGAACAUACAAAAUUGAAAGCAUCUUCAUCUGGUUAAUGUGACUAAACAUCAAGAAUAAUCAUUCAUUCGUAUGAGCGAGAAUUAGGGGUAAUUUAAAUGGGUAUAGAGAAACCUUUUGUUGAGUUCUAGUUAGGAUGUUAGUCGUGCCGCUUCAGAUUUUGGUGGAGAAACUGGUACAAAAUUGAAAACAUCAUCUGUUCAAGAUCAACAUCAAGAAUAAUCAUUCGUACCACUGAUCGGGAUUUCUAGGUAAUUAAAAUGGGCAUAGAACAACUUUUUGUUGGGUUUCAGUAAACUGAAUAUAUUUGAAGCAGACUCAUUAACCAACUGGUUGUAAUUACUGUUCCGUUUGUGACAUUAAACAACCAUCAAACCAACCGUAGCCUCCAAACUAUAAUAGUAAAUUGUGUUGCUAUUUAUUGGACUUUCAUAUUGGGAACUAUCUGACAGAACUCCUGAAGACAAGUUAAAAAUAUACAUAAUUUUUACUAUUUCCUAAAAUUACUUUUAUUAGGAUGUUAAACGGACCGCGUCAGAUGUAGUUGAUAAACUGAUAAAUAAUUAAAAACAUCUUUAUUUGAACACUGUUAUUAAGAAUGUGUGAUAUCAUCAAAUUGAAGAUUUCGGCAAGUAUACUUAAAAAAAAUCAUCAUUUCUUCCAAUGAACGAGAACUCCAGGUAAUUGAAAUGAGCACAGCAACCUUUGUUGAGUUCUAGUUAGGAUCUUGGGCGCUGCAGAUAUUGAUAGAGAAACGGAAGCAAACAUGAAGACAUCUUUGUUUGAUUACUGUCACCAAACAUUAAGAGAAUCAUCAUUCUUUCCACUAAGCGAGAAGACCAGGUAAUUAAAAUUAGUAUAGAACAAACAACCUUUUGUUGGGUUCCAGUUCAAUUCUGUUAUGACUUCAAUUCCAAAUCAACUAAGUGUAUUUAAACCCCAGACUCAUUGUAAACCUCAAAAGAAGGCAUAUAUGGGAGAUUUGAUAUCACAUCAGCAUACAGGAGAAUGCGUAAAGAGGAAGUAAUUAUAAUUUUGUGGAAGGUCGCAAUAAAAAUUAAUAAUGUGUAAUAUUGGGUAACGUACAGAAAUAAAUAUUCCACAGUUUACAAUAAUAUUUUGCAUAACCACCUCUACUUGAAAAAGUAAAGGUAUUAAUCCAAACAAAAAUGAGAUAUUUAGAAUGAAAUGAAUGAAUGAUAUAUCUGCAAAUUAAUUGCUUAAAGCAACGAAAAAUAGAAUGUACUUUUCAACCUUAAUUAAUGGGAUAAGUAUGUAUAAACAAAAUGUACAAAUAAGCCAAUAUUUACAAGGAACAUUAUGUAGACAAAAUAUGUUUUGAUCAGAACUCUAAGGACAAAGAGCAGAUGAAUGAUUCAGGUUAAAUUCGUAAAAUGAAACCUGUUCACGUAGAAUUAAAAAAAAAUAAAUAUCAUUAAAAAUAUUCUUACAUAUACCUUUUAGAAGACUUGAUAGAUGAUUACCUUAAUUUUAAUAUAAUUGUUUCUUUAAUUAAGGAUGCAUGCCUGCUGAAUUGAGUAGGUGGGGGAGCACUUGAUUAGAGAAACACUUGAUUAUUAGGGAUUAAUUAUCAAGGUACUCAUUUUAAGGGUUCUUGAUGUCCAACUAUUGGAUGGACUUGAUUGAAAUUGCCAACCGUCCGAGAAAAAAUCUUUGUCCAAAUUGUGAUCAUGGAGAAAUAAAUUGAUCAAAUCAACAUCUUUAAGAAUCGUCGAGAAAUUUUUAGAUUUUGGUUCCAGAAGAAAUUUGAAAGUUAGCAAUAAGUUUGCAAAAGUUUGUAAUUGAUUAUAUCUUACAAAAUGUAUAAUCAAAUAAUACACAUAUAUGUUUAUAUGAGAAUAAUGUUGUAUAAUUUCUUUAAUAAAAUAUUUCAUAACAAAUGAAAA
Long non-coding RNA from Aethina tumida (small hive beetle), 5386 nucleotides. RefSeq lists it as uncharacterized. The record is from RefSeq and is a predicted model, not a curated record. NCBI's taxonomy places the organism in Eukaryota, Metazoa, Arthropoda, Insecta, Coleoptera, Nitidulidae. The transcript is spliced from 6 exons.